CACGUAGGGGGCAAGCGUUGUCCGGAUUUAUUGGGCGUAAAGAGCUCGUAGGCGGCUCGGUAAGUCGGGUGUGAAAACUCGGGGCUCAACCCCGAGACGCCACUCGAUACUGCUGUGGCUAGAGUCCGGUAGGGGAGCGUGGAAUUCCUGGUGUAGCGGUGAAAUGCGCAGAUAUCAGGAGGAACACCGGUGGCGAAGGCGGCGCUCUGGGCCGGAACUGACGCUGAGGAGCGAAAGCGUGGGGAGCAAACAGG
This 254-nucleotide ribosomal RNA is filed under the name uncultured bacterium. Its description in RNAcentral is "partial 16S ribosomal RNA". It matches the Rfam family "Bacterial small subunit ribosomal RNA", at positions 524 to 776 of the family's 1533-position model. The record is from RNAcentral.